GUGACCCACAGGAGGAUGGCGGCACUUCGAGUCACAAAACCAUACCUAGAUAUUGGGUGCUAAGCAGUAAUGCAGAAUGGACCAGGUCUUCCGGAUGUUUCCGGCUAUGACAGAACUUUAAGGCCUGUCUCUGGUAUAUGGUGAGAUGAAGGUCAUCCCCAGAAACCCGCUAGUGCAACCCUGUCUUGAGGUCAGGAGGCUCAGUAAGUACAGGUUGAGAAAAAUUGAGACCUAAACGCUCAACCUUUGAUGGAGCUGGUUGUGUCUGAUGUAGACUCCAUGCAGACAAAUUGGCUGGUUAGGUUUGAAGAGCAAUAAAUCAAGACUACAGAGAAAACA
This 339-nucleotide long non-coding RNA is filed under the name Rattus norvegicus (Norway rat). RNAcentral describes it as "long non-coding RNA NONRATT000274". The record is from RNAcentral. Lineage: Eukaryota; Metazoa; Chordata; Mammalia; Rodentia; Muridae.